RNAcentral lists this ribosomal RNA (328 nucleotides) under uncultured bacterium. Its description in RNAcentral is "bacterial SSU rRNA". It matches the Rfam family "Bacterial small subunit ribosomal RNA", at positions 1 to 334 of the family's 1533-position model. The record is from RNAcentral.
CUAGCGACUUCAGAGUUUGAUCCUGGCUCAGGAUUAACGCUGGCGGCGUGCAUAACACAUUCAAGUCGAACGGAUGUAGCAAUACAUCAGUGGCGGACGGGUGAGUAACGCGUGAGCAAUCUACCUUCGGGUGCGGAAUAACAACCGGAAACAGUUGCUAAUACCGCAUGAAACGGCAGCAUCGCAUGGUGCAACCGUCAAAGGCUUGCUGCCCGAAGAUGAGCUUGCGUCUGAUUAGGUAGUUGGUGGGGUAGUGGCUCACCAAGCCGACGAUCAGUAGCCGGACUGAGAGGUUGAACGGCCACAUUGGAACUGAGAUACGGUCCAG